AACCAGGAGGAAGGAUUUGACUGAUUGCAACCUCUAGUCCUUGUAAGGUAGUUUCAAUUUUACGACUACCGACAAGGUGCCAAAAAAAUGCUAAAGCAGUUGAU
Non-coding RNA from Pseudozobellia thermophila, 104 nucleotides. Lineage: Bacteria; Pseudomonadati; Bacteroidota; Flavobacteriia; Flavobacteriales; Flavobacteriaceae. The record is from Rfam.